CAACAACCUAUAUUAUUACCCGAUACCCACCAAACUGUCCAAAACAAUGAGGGGGAAAAAGUGGGACAUGAUUUACAUUUGAAUAUCUACAUAAUUUUUGCUUCGAAAUGUGGGGGAAAAAGUGAGCUUAUCAUAUUUUUUGCUUCAACAAAUCAUUAUUUUUGACCCAACAACAAGAAUAUCUAAGAACAAAAUGCAAUAAACUAAAAUAAAUUAGCACAUCAAUAGCAUUACAAAUGAAAAUCAAAAAUAUGUUCCACCAGUUG
RNAcentral lists this unclassified non-coding RNA (266 nucleotides) under Hevea brasiliensis (rubber tree). The record is from RNAcentral. Lineage: Eukaryota; Viridiplantae; Streptophyta; Magnoliopsida; Malpighiales; Euphorbiaceae.